GAUGAACGCUGGCGGCGUGCCUAAUACAUGCAAGUCGAGCGAACAGACGAGGAGCUUGCUCCUCUGACGUUAGCGGCGGACGGGUGAGUAACACGUGGAUAACCUACCUAUAAGACUGGGAGAACUUCGGGAAACCGGAGCUAAUACCGGAUAAUAUAUUGAACCGCAUGGAUCAAUAGUGAAAGACGGCUUUGCUGUCACUUAUAGAUGGAUCCGCGCCGCAUUAGCUAGUUGGUAAGGUAACGGCUUACCAAGGCAACGAUGCGUAGCCGACCUGAGAGGGUGAUCGGCCACACUGGAACUGAGACACGGUCCAGACUCCUACGGGAGGCAGCAGUAGGGAAUCUUCCGCAAUGGGCGAAAGCCUGACGGAGCAACGCCGCGUGAGUGAUGAAGGUCUUCGGAUCGUAAAACUCUGUUAUUAGGGAAGAACAAAUGUGUAAGUAACUAUGCACGUCUUGACGGUACCUAAUCAGAAAGCCACGGCUAACUACGUG
Molecule: ribosomal RNA, 497 nt
Filed under: uncultured bacterium
Lineage: Bacteria
Description: partial 16S ribosomal RNA
Rfam family: Bacterial small subunit ribosomal RNA
Source: RNAcentral